This 576-nucleotide long non-coding RNA is filed under the name Homo sapiens (human). Its description in RNAcentral is "long non-coding RNA NONHSAT180498.1". Lineage: Eukaryota; Metazoa; Chordata; Mammalia; Primates; Hominidae. The record is from RNAcentral.
GGUCUCUUCCCGAGGAUCCGCUUUACUCGUACUAGAAACUCUGACCUCGAAUGCAGUUCCAGAAGCAGAACCCUGUAGGGGGUUUCAGGCGGCCAAGAAGGGAAGUGGUUCUCCUAAGACCGUCCCGGCUUCAGUCCACGGCGCUCACUAAAUGCCUCCCACGCCAGACGAGGUCCCCCGUCCCCGGAGCUCGCGUCCCAGAGAGAUGAAAACUCACUAUGCUGCCCAGACUCGUCUCGAACUCCUGGGUGUCACGCGUGUCCGUAUAGAAGACCACCUAAACAGGCUUUGUGUUCACGUGUUGAAAUCCUAACUCCAAAUAUGAUGAUAGGAGGAGAUGGGGCCUUCGGGAGGUGAUGAGGUCAUGAGGGUGGAAUCCUCAUGAAUGGUCUCAACGCCCUUAGAAAAGAGACCCCAGAGACCUCGCUCCCGCUUUCUACUGUGGGAGAAUGCAGCAAGAAGUCAGCCGUCUAUGAACAAGGAAGCAGGUCCUCUCCAGGCACUGAAUGUACCAGUGCCUUGAUCUUGGACUUCCCAGCCUCCAGAACUAUGACAAUAAAUUCUGUUGUUUAAGCU